UUUCUACAAACUUCUUGACAUGGGUUGCAUCUCUACUGCAGUCCUUGGCAAGACUGUGAUACUGAUUCAAUUCUUGCCACCAGUUUUUUUAACAGGUUAGAAUAAUCAUUUACUAAUCUAUUCUCUAGUUUGAUUGACAAUGUCUCAACUGUCAGAUCAUAAAUUUACGCGAUGUCCUUGACUUUAAAGUAGAUGAUACUGAUCAUAUCUGUCAAGAGACCAUUUCUGUCUACUACAGACGGAAGGGGCAAAAAGGUAAUUUCACCCACAGAGGGCAAAAUAAUCAAACCACCUGAACGGAUUAGGGUUAGGGUUGACUGUUGUUACCUGCAGAUCCCAUGCCCGCCGCUGCAACCGAAACAGCUGAAUGAUUUCUGCCUCCAUCACUGUCAUGCCUUUAAACACUCUUAAA
This 412-nucleotide long non-coding RNA is filed under the name Carica papaya (papaya). Its description in RNAcentral is "long non-coding RNA (CPAP_LNC000204)". The record is from RNAcentral. Lineage: Eukaryota; Viridiplantae; Streptophyta; Magnoliopsida; Brassicales; Caricaceae.